Molecule: long non-coding RNA, 4739 nt
Filed under: Canis lupus familiaris (dog)
Lineage: Eukaryota; Metazoa; Chordata; Mammalia; Carnivora; Canidae
Description: lncRNA (ENSCAFG00845003356.1)
Source: RNAcentral
UUUUUUUCUUUUGGUCUAUUAAUAUGGUGGCUUACAUACAGUAAUUGCUUUUAUUUUAUUCUAUUAAAAAAUUUUGAAAUUGUGGUAAAAUACUCAUAACACAAAAUUUACCAUUUUAGCCAUUUUUAAGUGUGUAGCUCAGUGUCAAAAGUACACUGUCGUGCAACCAAUACUACCAUUGAUCUCAAAAGUUUUUUUCAUGCUUGCAGUGCAUUUAUUUUGUACUCCUACUUUAUCAACCUUUCCCUCUCCCUGAGAUCUCUGAUAUCAUUUCUCUUCCAUUGGAUAGUUUCCUUUAGCAUUUCUUUUAGAGCAGGUCUGCUUGUGAUGCAGUCUUUUAGUUUUUCUACAUUGAGAAAUGCUACUUCACUUUCUUCUUGACAAUAAAAUAGUCACUGGAUAGAAUAUUUUCACUGGUUAUUAAUUUGGAGUUGACUUUUUUUUUUCCAACCCUUUAAAAUGUUAUAUCACUUUUUUCUGGCCUACCUAGUUUCUGAUGAGAAAUCUACCACCAUUUGUAUCCUUGCCCCUCUAUGUGAGGGACAUACUCAUAUACCAGUUUCUUCUGACUGAUUUCAGGAUUAUUUUCUUUCAGCCACUUGAUUAUGCUGGGUUUAGAGAUGGACUUCUUUGAAUUUAUUCUGUUUGGAAUUUACUGAGUUUUUUGGAUUCAAAAAAUGUCUUUUUGCAGCCAUUAUUCCUUCAAAUAAUUUUUCUACUCCCUGCUCUUUCUUCUCCUUUUCAGAGAGUCUGAUGAUACAACAUUCAUGUUAGAGCUUUUGGUAUUUCCCACAGUUCCCUAAAGCUCUGUUCAUUUUUUAAAAAUCUUUUUCUUCUGUGCUGUUAAUAUUUCAUGAUUUGCAUUGAUCUAUUUUUCCUCUGUCAUUUCUGUUUAACUAUUGAGCCCAUCCAGUGAAUUUUUCAGUUUGGACAUUUUAUUUUUCACUUUUUAAAAUAUCCAUUUGAUUCUCCUUAGUAUCUUCUAUUUCUUUUCUGAGAUAAUCUGCCUUUCUAUUUGUUUCAAGAGCAUUUACCCUUCUUUCUUACAGAUAAUCUGUAUUAUCUCAGAGUUGACACCUGUUCAUUGUGUUUUCCUGGAGAGUUAAGAUUUCGCUGGGUUUUCUCUCUCUCUGCCCCCCUCUCCUAAAUAGCUCUGGAUUGAGUCCUAGACAUUUAGAAUGUUAUGUUAUGAGAUUUGGAAUCUUGUUUAAAUCCUGAGGGAAAUGACUUUUUUGUUUUGGCAGGCAACUGUCCAGGUUCCGUUCAAGCCACAAGUUCUGACUUGCCUUCUAUGGGCUAUGUUUCCAGAGUCAGUUCAAUUUCAGAGUGUUUUCAGUGUUAUUCAGUCCCAAACAUGUACCACCCAGUGGCCAGUCUGGUACUUGGGAUGUGGCCUAACUUGUCACCUGGUCUUCUAAUCCUAGGGUAUACUCAGGUCCAUAUAUGUGCAUAUCAGAGGUAGGCCCAGUAUUCAUUCACAAUGCUUUCUCUCUGCCAUUUCACCAAUAUGCUUCAACUCACUGGGACUUCCAGUCAGAAAUUGAAUCUUUAUUUCUUCUACUCUGCAGGGCACUUCUUGUGACUAGGGUCAAGCAGAAAAAGGAGAGAGAGAAACAAAACAAAACAAAACAAAACAAAACAAAAAAACACUGUUACUCUUUUAUUGUCUGGGGUUUGAAUGGGAGAAAAUGGGGCCAAAACUUGGAGUCUUCUCCACUCUCUCUGUUUCAUAUAAUCUCCUUUUCCCUGUCUCUUGAAAUAGCAAUUUAGACCUUCUCUUAGUUCUCGUCCUGACAGCAGCCAGGGUGCCUUUCAGAUUUUGGGCUGCAUUCAAGGUCAGGCUCUGUAAAACUGCAGGAAGAAACUGGUAAAUUUAUCAGUUUAGGGUAAAUUUCAGAUUCAGGUCUUAUUCCUCAAUCUGCAUGCUACUGUUUAUUUUUUAAAGGUUUCACACAGCUGCCUCAUUCAAUCAGUCCAGGACUUACAAUAGCAUUCAGUAAAAGAGAUGGGGUGCAGUGUGCUUAUUCCAUCUUUCUUAGACCAGAACUCUAAGUCUACACACUUAAAGCUAUAUUCAUUUUUUUAAGUUUUUUUUUUAUUUAUUUAUGAUAGUCACAGAGAGAGAGAGAGGCAGAGACACAGGCAGAGGGAGAAGCAGGCUCCAUGCACCGAGAGCCCGAUGUGGGACUCGAUCCUGGGUCUCCAGGAUCACGCCCUGGGCCAAAGGCAGGCGCUAACCCGCUGCGCCACCCAGGGAUCCCUUAAAGCUAUAUUCAAAUGUGCAUUAUUUUUCAUUUCAUCUGGAGUGAUUUUAUAGCCUAAUUGUUGAUUUCAUAGGCUGUCCUUCAUUUACUUAUAGGCUGUGAAUGAAAAUGGUCUUGAUGUCAAUUCUUCCACUUACUGCUGCAUGACCUUAAGUAAAUUACUUAUUUAAACUCUCUGUAUCAGUAAACUUAUCUAUAUGAUAUGGAUACAGGCCAGAAAGAGAGGGAGAAAAAAGGGGAGGAGGAAGAGGGGGAAGAGAGGAGCAAGGGGUAAUUAGUUAAAAGGCUAUUGCAGUCCUGGAAAAAAAUAAUGGUGGUUUGAACUAGGGUAUUAGUGGUGGUAACAUGGAGAGCCUCUUUGGCUUUCCUCCAUCCUAUAUUCAUAGUCUAUUCAUCCUAAUGUUCAAGAUGAAUAAGAGGAUGUGGUCCAAAAGAAAAAAAGAAGAAAAAAAAAAAACCCUACUGUUUCAGUUCUUUUUUUCUGCUGCUUCAAAAACAACCUUGAUUUAUGUUAAAUUUUAGUAUGAGGAACUGGGUUUGUUUGCUCUAGAGAAAGCUCAAGGGUGGGGCAGAAGGGUCUUGAAGAUAGGAUAGUUGUCUUCAAAAGGCUAAAGAACAUUGUCUAUGAGAAGAAUCACUAAAUGUAUGCUAAGCAAGCGAGCAGGCACAAAUAGAACUACAGGAAAGACAUUAUAGGAGUCAGUUUAGCUUAAUACCUGGAUGAACUUUAUAAUUAUUAAAGCUGUCUAAAAUGAAAUGGGCAGAUUUGGGCACAGGAGAAUAUUGGUUGUGGGAGGCGUCCAAUCAGAGGAUGUUUCAUGUUCCUUUUGGGUUUGAGAAUUGUCAUCAGCUCUCCAUUUAAUAGGUAUACAUCAUGAUCAUGUUUUGGUGGUAUGAGGAACAGAGACAUGAGGCUUGUGAAAGAUGAUAAUGCUUUUGGCAAUAGAUAUAUUUUGUUAUUUUACCCCCUUACGCUGGCUUUGUCUUCUUCACUUUGUGUGUUCAAACAGAGGAAGCAGCUUAAGUCAGUGACAGCCAUUUUGCAUAAGAAUUGAUUCUACUCUGUCUUUCCACCUUGUUUCUUAAAGCAUAAUUUGUUAAGUGCUUAGGAUAGUACCAGGCCCAAUGUUAAGUAUUCUAAAUAAAUUAUCUCAUUAUAUAUUCACAAUAUUUUGAGAAACCUAUUACCAUCAUCAUUGUUGUGCACAUGAAAAAACAAGGCUUAGAGAUAUCAUAGUUUACUUGAGUUUACAUGACUAUAUAUGCAGAAUAAUGGUCCCCCAAAGAUGUCCAUGUCCCAGCUCCUGGAAACUGAAUACGUUACCUUACAUAGCAAGGGGACCUUGCAGAUGUAAUGAAGUUAAAGAUCUUGAGAUGGGAAGAACAUCCUGGAUUAUCCAAAUGGACCUAGUAUAAGUCACAUGGGUCCUUAAAAUAGGAAGGUCAGAAUCAGAGAAAAUGUAACUACAGAAGCAGAAUCAGAGAGAGAUUUAAAGACACUAUUUUGCUGGCUUUGAAGAUAAAGGAAGACACCAUGACCCAAAUAAUAAUACAGGUGGUCUCCAGAAAUUGGAAAACGCAAGAAAAUAGAUACUUCCUUAGAAUGUUCAGAAGGAACCAGAGCUGCCAACACCUUAAUUUCACCCCAGUUAGACCCAUUUUGUAGCCACUUAGUUUGAACUAAGUGGAAGACGUGAGCUUUAGAGCAUAUGCAUCAUAGAGCAUUUGCUUUAAUGCUGACCUUGGUUUUAGUGUCCUGUACACACAGACACAUCUAAACCGCACAGAUUGCCCACAUAUUACAGAUGACUUCUUUCUGGGAAUUUCAUAAUCAUGGAGGCUGUGAGCAGGAGGGGGAAUGCACUGUUAACAGUUCUAUGUCAUUCAUGGCUUGGAUUCAGAAUUAGAAUUUUAAUGGGACCAUCAAAGUCCUUUUAUCUCAUCUCUGCUUCUGAGGCUUGACCUUCCUCCACAGUGUUCUUGUCAAUGGUUGUCCAGCCCUGCUUCCACACCUCCAGUGACUGGAAUUGCACAUCUCUUUUGGAAAGCCAUGCUAUCUUAAAGCAACUCUGUUAGAAAUUUCUAUUUCAGAUUGAUCAAAAAAAUCUUUCUUGCAACUGCUAUCUGUGGGUUCCAGUCCUAUUAUUUGUUGGCACAUGGAAUUAGUUUUUAUUGAUUUUGCAUUGGGUGGAAUGUUAAAGUAGAUGGCCUCUAAGAUUUUAUUUAUUUAUUCAUGAGAGAGAGAGAGAGAGAGAGAGAAGCAGAGAUGCAGGCAGAGAGACAGGCAGGCUCCCAGCAGGGAUCCCGACUGGAACUUGAUUCCAGGAUCCGGAGAUCAUGACCUAAGCCAAAGGCAGACACUCAACCACUGAGCUACCCAGGUGUCCCAAGUGGAUGGCCUCUAAACAGCCUUUUAACUCUUACGAUUCAAGCCUGAUCCUUAUCUAGGACAUUAAUACCAGUCUUGUAGGUUUU